GAGGGUAUAGCUCAAGUGGUAGAGUGCAUGCUUAGCAUGCACAAGGCACUAGGUUCAAUUCCCAGUACCUCCU
RNAcentral lists this transfer RNA (73 nucleotides) under Camelus bactrianus (Bactrian camel). It matches the Rfam family "tRNA". Rfam says of the family: Transfer RNA (tRNA) molecules are approximately 80 nucleotides in length. Lineage: Eukaryota; Metazoa; Chordata; Mammalia; Artiodactyla; Camelidae. The record is from Rfam by way of RNAcentral. RNAcentral also lists the same sequence under 3 other names.